This 237-nucleotide small RNA is filed under the name Pongo abelii (Sumatran orangutan). RNAcentral describes it as "processed transcript". The record is from RNAcentral. Lineage: Eukaryota; Metazoa; Chordata; Mammalia; Primates; Hominidae.
GCCAAGUGUUUGUGAAGAACAGCAAGUGACUGUGGUUGGACUUGCACACCCAUGUGUUUGGGCAUUCACACACAUUGUCAAGCUCUGCAAACAAGGCUGUACUGGCUCAAGUUGGUGUGUGAGCUAUGAAAGAAGGUCCUCUUUUCCAUCUUCUAAUUCCUGUGGAUCUGUCCUGUAGCCUUUCCAUGCUAUCCUCAGGCUCAUCUGUUUUCUGAAGAUGGGGAAAAGCCCUUUGGA